This 1024-nucleotide long non-coding RNA is filed under the name Capra hircus (goat). Its description in RNAcentral is "lncRNA (ENSCHIG00010005017.1)". The record is from RNAcentral. Lineage: Eukaryota; Metazoa; Chordata; Mammalia; Artiodactyla; Bovidae.
AUGAAUGAAUUUCAAAACAAUGCUGCUUCCACUGACUGUACAAGCCUAACUUUAUGGAGUAAAUGUGUGACACCCUGUGCUGAGGCAAACCCACCAGACUAUUCCAUAAUGAAACCAGAUUGGGUCUGUCAAAUACAAAAGGUGCCUGGAGUUAAUGAGGAGGCCAUCGGACUGAGGUUGCUUUAAUGCCCUAGGAGCCUACUAAGCAAGCCAAAAACCUAACCUCCUAAAUGCCUUAAGGUGAAGAACUUUUAACUGAAAAACAGCCAAUCACAAACAGCCAGCUAAGCCUUCCCAAAUAUGGCACCCACUUGAGCUGGAGCCAACCUGGUAAUUUCCUUGCUUUGUUUCUGCCUCUCCUCUAUAAGUCUUUCCCCUAGUUCCUGUCAGUGGAGCGCUCUGAGGGCGAGCAGACAAUGUGACCCUAAAACAUGUCACUCUUGCACGGGGAUCAUUUUGAGCUGAGGCCAUCAGGAGCCGGCAGACCAGAGAAAACCUUUUACUUCUUCCUUAUCUAUCUAGAAGACUUCAGAUAAGGAGCCUGAUCCUGAAAGAGAGCUAUUACCAGAAAUAACUUUAAAUCUGAAAGACACACCUGUAUGGCAGGCAAAUAGCUACCAAACAUCUCCUUUUCUACUGUCCUAUGGACAAUAUAAAAAACCAUAUAUAUUUAUAUGUUUGAAAAGUCCAUCUCCUGUCAUUCUCCACUUUGAAGCUUCAACUGCUAGAUUUGCCCUUGGGUCUCACUGCGUUUACGGGGCUCUUAUAUGUAUAUAAUUAAACUUGUUUACUCUUGUUAAUCUGUCUUAUGCCACUUUAAUUAACAGACCAACCAAAGAAUCUAGAAGUGUACAGAAAAAAUAUUUUCUCUCACAGUUCCUAACUGCUUCCAGUUUAGAACUGCUAGAUUCGAAUAGAUUUUUGCUCAAAUAAAUUUCUUUAAAAAUGUGCUUCAGUUUAUUUUUUAACACUGGGAAAAUGUUAAGAAUUAAGUAGUAUACAAAUGUGGUACCUGUGUUGUCUG